Molecule: transfer RNA, 84 nt
Filed under: Patescibacteria group bacterium
Lineage: Bacteria
Also listed under: 1 other name
Description: tRNA-Leu
Rfam family: tRNA
About the family: Transfer RNA (tRNA) molecules are approximately 80 nucleotides in length. Their secondary structure includes four short double-helical elements and three loops (D, anti-codon, and T loops). Further hydrogen bonds mediate the characteristic L-shaped molecular structure. tRNAs have two regions of fundamental functional importance: the anti-codon, which is responsible for specific mRNA codon recognition, and the 3' end, to which the tRNAs corresponding amino acid is attached (by aminoacyl-tRNA synthetases). tRNAs cope with the degeneracy of the genetic code in two manners: having more than one tRNA (with a specific anti-codon) for a particular amino acid; and 'wobble' base-pairing, i.e. permitting non-standard base-pairing at the 3rd anti-codon position.
Source: RNAcentral
GCCGGGGUGGCGGAAUUGGUAUACGCGCAAGACUUAAAAUCUUGUGUCCCUUGGGACGUGUGGGUUCGACUCCCACCUUCGGCA